RNAcentral lists this ribosomal RNA (333 nucleotides) under uncultured eukaryote. Its description in RNAcentral is "partial 18S ribosomal RNA". It matches the Rfam family "Eukaryotic small subunit ribosomal RNA", at positions 1470 to 1796 of the family's 1831-position model. The record is from RNAcentral.
CCCUUAGAUGUUCUGGGCUGCACGCGCGCUACACUGAAGCGUUCAACGAGUAUUUCACCUUGCCCGGGAGGGUUGGGUAAUCUUUUUAAAACGCUUCGUGAUGGGGAUAGAUUAUUGCAAUUAUUAAUCUUCAACGAGGAAUUCCUAGUAAGCGCGAGUCAUCAGCUCGCGUUGAUUACGUCCCUGCCCUUUGUACACACCGCCCGUCGCUACUACCGAUUGAAUGGUUUAGUGAGAUCUUCGGAUUGGCGCCUACGCGGCUUCUCUGAGGCCACGCUGGAUGCCGAAAAGUUGCUCAAACUGUAUCAUUUAGAGGAAGUAAAAGUCGUAACA